UGAGGAAUAUUGGUCAAUGGGCGAGAGCCUGAACCAGCCAAGUCGCGUGAGGGAAGACGGUCCUAUGGAUUGUAAACCUCUUUUGCCGGGGAGCAAAAAGCGGUACGCGUACCGCAUCGAGAGUACCCGGAGAAAAAGCAUCGGCUAACUCCGUGCCAGCAGCCGCGGUAAUACGGAGGAUGCGAGCGUUAUCCGGAUUUAUUGGGUUUAAAGGGUGCGCAGGCGGCGAGUUAAGUCAGCGGUAAAAUUUCGGGGCUCAACCCCGACAAGCCGUUGAAACUGGCUUGCUAGAGUGGGCGAGAA
RNAcentral lists this ribosomal RNA (303 nucleotides) under uncultured bacterium. Its description in RNAcentral is "bacterial SSU rRNA". It matches the Rfam family "Bacterial small subunit ribosomal RNA", at positions 355 to 656 of the family's 1533-position model. The record is from RNAcentral.